RNAcentral lists this ribosomal RNA (253 nucleotides) under uncultured bacterium. RNAcentral's name for it is "partial 16S ribosomal RNA". It matches the Rfam family "Bacterial small subunit ribosomal RNA", at positions 524 to 776 of the family's 1533-position model. The record is from RNAcentral.
UACAGAGGCCUCGAGCGUUAAUCGGAAUCACUGGGCUUAAAGGGUGCGUAGGCGGCGCUGCAAGUGCCUUGUGAAAUCCCAUGGCUUAACCAUGGAACUGCUCGGUAGACUGCAGCGCUUGAGGUUGGUAGGGGCUGCCGGAACUCUAGGUGGAGCGGUGAAAUGCGUAGAUAUCGAGAGGAACACCAGUGGCGAAGGCGAGUCCCUGGACAACACCUGACACUAAGGCACGAAAGCUAGGGGAGCAAACAGG